This 505-nucleotide ribosomal RNA is filed under the name uncultured bacterium. RNAcentral describes it as "partial 16S ribosomal RNA". It matches the Rfam family "Bacterial small subunit ribosomal RNA", at positions 28 to 507 of the family's 1533-position model. The record is from RNAcentral.
GACGAACGCUGGCGGCGUGCCUAAUACAUGCAAGUAGAACGCACAGUUUAUACCGUAGCUUGCUACACCAUAGACUGUGAGUUGCGAACGGGUGAGUAACGCGUAGGUAACCUGCCUGGUAGCGGGGGAUAACUAUUGGAAACGAUAGCUAAUACCGCAUAAUAUUAAUUAUUGCAUGAUAAUUAAUUGAAAGGUGCAAUUGCACCACUACCAGAUGGACCUGCGUUGUAUUAGCUAGUAGGUGAGGUAACGGCUCACCUAGGCGACGAUACAUAGCCGACCUGAGAGGGUGAUCGGCCACACUGGGACUGAGACACGGCCCAGACUCCUACGGGAGGCAGCAGUAGGGAAUCUUCGGCAAUGGACGAAAGUCUGACCGAGCAACGCCGCGUGAGUGAAGAAGGUUUUCGGAUCGUAAAGCUCUGUUGUAAGAGAAGAACGGGUGUGAGAGUGGAAAGUUCACACUGUGACGGUACCUGACCAGAAAGGGACGGCUAACUACGUG